Molecule: unclassified non-coding RNA, 334 nt
Filed under: soil metagenome
Description: partial contains 5.8S ribosomal RNA, internal transcribed spacer 2, and large subunit ribosomal RNA
Rfam family: 5.8S ribosomal RNA (bases 1-120)
Source: RNAcentral
GAUGAAGAACGUAGUGAAAUGCGAUAAGUAAUGUGAAUUGCAGAAUUCUGUGAAUCAUCGAAUCUUUGAACGCACAUUGCGCCCGCCAGUAUUCUGGCGAGCAUGCCUGUUCGAGCGUCAUUUCAACCAUCAAGCCCCAGGCUUGUGUUGGAGCCCUGCGGCUGCCGCAGCCUCCCAAAACCAGUGGCGGGCUCGCUAUCACACCGAGUGCAGUAGUUUACUCUUCGCUCAGGGCGUGUGGCGGGUGCUAGCCGUGAAACCCCCAACUUCUCAAGGUUGACCUCGGAUCAGGUAGGAAUACCCGCUGAACUUAAGCAUAUCAAUAAGCGGAGGA